This 253-nucleotide ribosomal RNA is filed under the name uncultured bacterium. Its description in RNAcentral is "partial 16S ribosomal RNA". It matches the Rfam family "Bacterial small subunit ribosomal RNA", at positions 524 to 776 of the family's 1533-position model. The record is from RNAcentral.
UACGUAGGGUGCGAGCGUUAAUCGGAAUUACUGGGCGUAAAGCGUGCGCAGGCGGUUCGUUGUGUCCGUCGUGAAAGCCCCGGGCUUAACCUGGGAACUGCGAUGGAAACUAGCGAGCUGGAGUGUGGCAGAGGGGGGUGGAAUUCCGCGUGUAGCAGUGAAAUGCGUAGAGAUGCGGAGGAACACCGAUGGCGAAGGCAGCCCCCUGGGCUAACACUGACGCUCAGGCACGAAAGCGUGGGGAGCAAACAGG